Molecule: small nuclear RNA, 195 nt
Organism: Gopherus evgoodei (Goodes thornscrub tortoise)
Lineage: Eukaryota; Metazoa; Chordata; Testudines; Testudinidae
Gene: U2
Rfam family: U2 spliceosomal RNA
About the family: U2 is a small nuclear RNA (snRNA) component of the spliceosome (involved in pre-mRNA splicing).
Source: Ensembl
AGACCAUUUUAACAUUGGCUGGAAUCAAAAUGUUAAAUCUGUUCUUAUCACUUUAAUAACAGAUACUUCCUCUAUCUCAGGACUAGCUAUUAAACUGAUUUUUGGAAUAGAGACAUGGAGUAGCAGCUUCCUCCACCCAGUGCGCACAUAGCCCUGUUAUUGUUGCACUGAACCUCUAGGAAUGGUGGACCUCCC